RNAcentral lists this ribosomal RNA (253 nucleotides) under uncultured bacterium. RNAcentral describes it as "partial 16S ribosomal RNA". It matches the Rfam family "Bacterial small subunit ribosomal RNA", at positions 524 to 776 of the family's 1533-position model. The record is from RNAcentral.
UACGAAGGGGGCUAGCGUUGCUCGGAAUCACUGGGCGUAAAGCGUACGUAGGCGGGUUUUUAAGUCGGGGGUGAAAUCCUGGAGCUCAACUCCAGAACUGCCUUUGAUACUGAAGAUCUUGAGUCCGGGAGAGGUGAGUGGAACUGCGAGUGUAGAGGUGAAAUUCGUAGAUAUUCGCAAGAACACCAGUGGCGAAGGCGGCUCACUGGCCCGUUACUGACGCUGAGGCACGAAAGCGUGGGGAGCAAACAGG